Small nucleolar RNA from Fukomys damarensis (Damara mole-rat), 151 nucleotides. The record is from Ensembl. NCBI's taxonomy places the organism in Eukaryota, Metazoa, Chordata, Mammalia, Rodentia, Bathyergidae.
CUUCGGUGAUGCAGCGAUGACGAGUCAGAAAGGCCACGUCCUGCCCUCGAUCCUUGUCAGCGCCUGCCGUUCUCUGGGGUGCUGCGUGGGUUCCUUUUGCAAAAGUGUCCUCCUGCUCAUUAAUUGAUGUAGAGACCUUUGUCUGAGAAGG